UCAUAAAAAAUCAAAUGUUUGGAGAGGAUGGCAAAAGGUUUAUAUGUACAGUAAACUCGUGAUUAAUGUCAAAAUUAAUUUGUGACAUGUGAAUUUUAAAGAAAGGCUAGCUCAAUUUGUGAAUUUAUGAAGCAUUUUGAAGCCUGAUUUGCCUCCUAUUAUGAAACCAGCUUAUUUUUUCUAUCAUUUUGUGAAAACCUAAAGAUUUCCCUGCCUGGAACCUUGCACUUAAAAAGAGUGAUAUGAAAUUUCCCUUUUAAAUUUUUGAUGCAUGAAAUGCUACAUUUAAAGUAUUGGUGAAACAUGAAUUUUUCUAAAAUCAGUGUUUGAAUGGGAUUGGGAACACCCUUUGCUUAAACUCAGCUCUUUGGAGUUAUUGAGAAAGGGGUGGUGAAGUGUAGCAAAAAAGUCUUCGGUGUUUGGAAAGGGCAAUUCAGUCCCAGAAUAUCUGAGUUCUUGAUAGGAGAAAUCUUUUUUGUGUUCCCUUUUUGUUUCUGAUUUUGAUAUAAAUAUUGUCCUUUAGAUGUAAAAUGGUGACCUUUGAGUCUUUUUCUGCACAGUUUCUAAACCAGAACCUCGAUCAUUGGGAAGGGACUGCAGUUGUUAAUGGAGAGUUCAAAUAUUUGAAGAUGACUGAUUCUAGAGGAAAAUAUCUGGUGUUCUUUUUCUAUCCCCUUGACUUUACUUUUGUUUGUCCAACGGAGAUCACUGCCUUUA
Non-coding RNA from Pocillopora verrucosa, 717 nucleotides. The record is from RefSeq and is a predicted model, not a curated record. NCBI's taxonomy places the organism in Eukaryota, Metazoa, Cnidaria, Anthozoa, Scleractinia, Pocilloporidae.